RNAcentral lists this ribosomal RNA (270 nucleotides) under uncultured bacterium. RNAcentral describes it as "partial 16S ribosomal RNA". It matches the Rfam family "Bacterial small subunit ribosomal RNA", at positions 1231 to 1500 of the family's 1533-position model. The record is from RNAcentral.
UGGACGGUACAACGAGUCGCAAGACCGCGAGGUUUAGCAAAUCUCUUAAAGCCGUUCUCAGUUCGGAUUGUAGGCUGCAACUCGCCUACAUGAAGUCGGAAUCGCUAGUAAUCGCGGAUCAGCAUGCCGCGGUGAAUACGUUCCCGGGCCUUGUACACACCGCCCGUCACACCAUGAGAGUUUGUAACACCCAAAGCCGGUGGGGUAACCUUUUGGAGCCAGCCGUCUAAGGUGGGACAGAUGAUUGGGGUGAAGUCGUAACAAGGUACC